Molecule: ribosomal RNA, 704 nt
Filed under: Staphylococcus aureus
Lineage: Bacteria; Bacillati; Bacillota; Bacilli; Caryophanales; Staphylococcaceae
Description: partial 23S ribosomal RNA
Rfam family: Bacterial large subunit ribosomal RNA
Source: RNAcentral
GCGAUUGGAUUGCACGUCUAAGCAGUAAGGCUGAGUAUUAGGCAAAUCCGGUACUCGUUAAGGCUGAGCUGUGAUGGGGAGAAGACAUUGUGUCUUCGAGUCGUUGAUUUCACACUGCCGAGAAAAGCCUCUAGAUAGAAAAUAGGUGCCCGUACCGCAAACCGACACAGGUAGUCAAGAUGAGAAUUCUAAGGUGAGCGAGCGAACUCUCGUUAAGGAACUCGGCAAAAUGACCCCGUAACUUCGGGAGAAGGGGUGCUCUUUAGGGUUAACGCCCAGAAGAGCCGCAGUGAAUAGGCCCAAGCGACUGUUUAUCAAAAACACAGGUCUCUGCUAAACCGUAAGGUGAUGUAUAGGGGCUGACGCCUGCCCGGUGCUGGAAGGUUAAGAGGAGUGGUUAGCUUCUGCGAAGCUACGAAUCGAAGCCCCAGUAAACGGCGGCCGUAACUAUAACGGUCCUAAGGUAGCGAAAUUCCUUGUCGGGUAAGUUCCGACCCGCACGAAAGGCGUAACGAUUUGGGCACUGUCUCAACGAGAGACUCGGUGAAAUCAUAGUACCUGUGAAGAUGCAGGUUACCCGCGACAGGACGGAAAGACCCCGUGGAGCUUUACUGUAGCCUGAUAUUGAAAUUCGGCACAGCUUGUACAGGAUAGGUAGGAGCCUUUGAAACGUGAGCGCUAGCUUACGUGGAGGCGCUGGUGGG